Harpegnathos saltator (Jerdon's jumping ant) is the source of this 919-nucleotide RNA transcript. It is a transcript of the gene named ribosomal protein S9, with no coding region annotated. The record is from RefSeq and is a predicted model, not a curated record. Lineage: Eukaryota; Metazoa; Arthropoda; Insecta; Hymenoptera; Formicidae. The transcript is spliced from 5 exons.
UACUAUAGAUUUUCAGUACUGGCAGUGAAUUUUAGAACGCAGCUCAGGCAGGAAAGAUCCAAUCCGUACACGUCACUGUGCAAACCCAGGUCUGCCAUUUCUAUCGUGUUCGUCGAGGCGGAAGGUUGUUUCUCACGACCCUUCUUACAAUCAAGAAGGCAAAAAUUAACAAUCUUCCAACAUGGUGAACGGAAGGAUUCCAUCGGUCUUCUCCAAGACCUAUGUUACACCCAGAAGGCCAUACGAGAAAGCUCGUUUGGACCAAGAAUUGCGUAUCAUUGGAGAGUAUGGACUCCGAAAUAAGCGUGAGGUAUGGAGGGUGAAAUAUACCCUUGCGAAAAUCCGCAAGGCAGCUCGUGAAUUGCUCACAUUAGAAGAAAAAGACCCGAAGCGUCUUUUUGAAGGAAAUGCUUUGUUACGUCGUCUGGUAAGAAUUGGUGUGUUGAACGAAGGUCACAUGAAGCUUGAUUAUGUGUUGGGCUUGAAAAUUGAGGACUUCUUGGAGCGACGUCUACAGACUCAAGUAUUUAAGAUGGGUUUAGCCAAGUCCAUUCAUCAUGCCCGUGUUCUUAUUCGCCAGAGACACAUUCGGUAUCAGGACGAUUACACUUGGUCGAUUAGUCCCGGUUGACCGUUUGUGUUGGGUCUGGAAUUCGAGCUCACAGUCGUUAAUUUAACGAAACGUUUUUCAUUCGCGCAGGCCACUUAAGUACCGUUCACUGGUACUUAACGUCUGUUGAUCUAUUGAGAUCUUUCGUGCUCGUCGAGAAAAAGAAAUCGAGAACAUGAGGAGGCUGCGAGUGCGCAAGCAGGUGGUGAAUAUACCAUCGUUCAUCGUACGAUUGGAUUCACAAAAACACAUCGACUUCUCGCUCAAGUCGCCCUUCGGUGGCGGCAGGCCUGGCCGCGUCAAGAGGAA